GCUGAUGCCCUAAAACCAUUUUUAACGGGAGAACAUGAUUGGUGUUCUAAGCUCAAUAAAAAGAUAAAUAAAUUGAACAGUAGGCUUAGAACAGAUUUUUUGAGUCUUGAAUUAGAACAGAUUUUAGUCCUGUUCUAUGAUCACGUGGCAGUACGUCAAUGGUUGAGUUUUUUUUGCAACUGAGAAAAUUUUUCAUUUCUCUUCCUCUUCCAAAUUGCAUUUAGGUUUUGCGAUGAAAAGAGAGAAAACGGCGAAAGCUUCGAUUUCUACAUCUUCGCCGACUAAGGUUAGUAUUUCGGCCAAAAGUGUCUCUGCUUUGCUCUCAAUUCUCUGUUGUACUGAGUUUGGAGUUGAGAUUCCUGUCUCCGGAUUGUCUUAAACCUUCUUUUACAAUACUCUCCUCUUACAUGCGAGCUUCUCCGAUUCUCAGUUUCUGAUCGCUUCAUAAUUUCGCAAUUACGCGGCCAAGAAAUUCAUCAACAACCCCAACGAUGUUGUAACUGAGUUCAUUGAAGGCCUCGUUGAAACUUAUCAUGGACUUCAGUAUUUGGAUGGUUUCCCUGAGGUUAAGGUGGUUAUACGAGUUGAUGUCUCGGCUGAAAAGUACGACAAGGUUGCCGUUAUAUCAGGUGGAGGCAGUGGGCAUGAGCCUGCACAUGCUGGUUAUGUUGGAGAAGGUAUGCUAACAGCGGCUAUCUGCGGUGAUGUCUUUGCCUCCCCACCAGUUGAUUCCAUCCUUGCUGUGAGUAUUCCAGAUGCGGUUUUCUAUCUUCCCUCUUCUGUAACUGGUACUGAAGGAUGUCUAUUGAUUGUCAAGGUAGUCAGAGUGGGAAAGAGAGCCACAUUCAUACAGUUUUAUUGUUGCGAGGAAUCUUUUCUUCGUGUUUUUGAUUAAUCUAGUUUCCCCAUCAACUCUCUUGGCACUGGUGAUCGCUUGAACUUUGCUUGCUGUUAUUGGAGUUAUUUGGUUCAUAGGCACUUUGCUUCCAUGUUUUUUUUAUGUAACUUCAAUAUUCAUGUAUCAAAUGUACAAUAAAAAUUGAUUAUUAUAUUAUUAAAUCUUAUGAUCUUA
Molecule: non-coding RNA, 1072 nt
Organism: Camelina sativa (false flax)
Lineage: Eukaryota; Viridiplantae; Streptophyta; Magnoliopsida; Brassicales; Brassicaceae
Source: RefSeq, a predicted model, not a curated record